GCUUGCUUCGGCAGUGUGUAUACUAAAAUUGGAAAGAUACAGACAAUAUUAGCAUGGCCCAUGUGCAAAGAUGCCACAGAAAUUUACUAUCUUCCAAUAUUUUGU
This is a small nuclear RNA of Cynocephalus volans (Philippine flying lemur), 105 nucleotides long. The record is from RefSeq and is a predicted model, not a curated record. NCBI's taxonomy places the organism in Eukaryota, Metazoa, Chordata, Mammalia, Dermoptera, Cynocephalidae.